AAAGGAAAUCUGGAGAGAGAGUCAAACAGUACGUGAAAYCGUUGGGAGGGAAACGAACGAGGUUGGUGCAGUGAUUGCGCAGGCUCAGGUUCUGCCAAAGGUGCCAGCAGGACGACCCAGAGUGUCCCCCGUUGUCUACCGGAGGCAGAGCCGUACUCCUCGCGAGCACGGACCAGUGGCGGUUGGAGUGGGGCCAUAAGGCCGCGGGUACGGUAUGUCGGGUCGGGUUCGCUCGCUCGACAACUUACAGACCGGCGUGCCGGUGCUCCACCCCGACCGAGGAAGGAGGGCAGCGUUUGCCCGGUGUGGUGCACGCCGUAUGGCGGGGCGUCCCGUCGGUAGCAAGUCUGGCCGGGUGGACUGCUUGCAGUGCUCACUGCCACGGCGAACUAACGGUCGGCGAUUGUCACUUGUGCACCAGUGCUACUGGUAUUCGGACGGCCUCGUCCGACCCGUCU
Molecule: ribosomal RNA, 458 nt
Filed under: Dysidea sp. GW30179
Lineage: Eukaryota; Metazoa; Porifera; Demospongiae; Dictyoceratida; Dysideidae
Description: partial 28S ribosomal RNA
Source: RNAcentral